CCUACGGGUGGCAGCAGUGGGGAAUAUUGCACAAUGGGCGAAAGCCUGAUGCAGCAACGCCGCGUGAGUGAUGAAGGCCUUCUGGUCGUUAAACUCUGUUCUCAAGGAAGAUAAUGACGGUACUUGAGGAGUAUUCCACGGCUAACUACGUGCCAGCAGCCGCGGUAAUACGCAGGGGGCUAGCGUUAUCCGGAUUUACGGGGCGUAAGGGGUGCGUAGGCGGUCUUUCAAGUCAGGAGUAAAAGGCUACGGCUCAACCGUAGUAAGCUCUUGACACUGGGAGACUUGAGUGCAGGAGAGGAGAGUGGAAUUCCUAGUGUAGCGGUGAAAUGCGUAGAUAUUAGGAGGAACACCAGUUGCGAAGGCGGCUCUCUGGACUGUAACUGACGCUGAGGCACGAAAGCGUGGGGAGCAAACAGGAUUAGAUACCCGGGUAGUC
Molecule: ribosomal RNA, 439 nt
Filed under: uncultured bacterium
Lineage: Bacteria
Description: partial 16S ribosomal RNA
Rfam family: Bacterial small subunit ribosomal RNA
Source: RNAcentral